This 63-nucleotide transfer RNA is filed under the name Hylastes opacus. RNAcentral's name for it is "tRNA-His". The record is from RNAcentral. Lineage: Eukaryota; Metazoa; Arthropoda; Insecta; Coleoptera; Curculionidae.
GUUUAAGUAGUUUAAUAAAAACUUUAAUUUGUGGAAUUAAUAAUAUGUCUUUCAUCUUAGACA